UACGGAGGGGGCUAGCGUUGUUCGGAAUUACUGGGCGUAAAGCGCACGUAGGCGGCUUUGCAAGUUAGAGGUGAAAGCCCGGGGCUCAACUCCGGAAUUGCCUUUAAAACUGCAUCGCUAGAAUUGUGGAGAGGUAAGUGGAAUUCCGAGUGUAGAGGUGAAAUUCGUAGAUAUUCGGAAGAACACCAGUGGCGAAGGCGGACUUACUGGACACAUAUUGACGCUGAGGUGCGAAAGCGUGGGGAGCAAACAGGG
This 255-nucleotide ribosomal RNA is filed under the name uncultured bacterium. RNAcentral describes it as "partial 16S ribosomal RNA". It matches the Rfam family "Bacterial small subunit ribosomal RNA", at positions 524 to 777 of the family's 1533-position model. The record is from RNAcentral.